This 255-nucleotide ribosomal RNA is filed under the name uncultured bacterium. RNAcentral describes it as "partial 16S ribosomal RNA". It matches the Rfam family "Bacterial small subunit ribosomal RNA", at positions 524 to 778 of the family's 1533-position model. The record is from RNAcentral.
UACGAAGGGGGCUAGCGUUGCUCGGAAUCACUGGGCGUAAAGGGUGCGUAGGCGGGUCUUUAAGUCAGGGGUGAAAUCCUGGAGCUCAACUCCAGAACUGCCUUUGAUACUGAGGAUCUUGAGUUCGGGAGAGGUGAGUGGAACUGCGAGUGUAGAGGUGAAAUUCGUAGAUAUUCGCAAGAACACCAGUGGCGAAGGCGGCUCACUGGCCCGAUACUGACGCUGAGGCACGAAAGCGUGGGGAGCAAACAGGAU